Molecule: transfer RNA, 77 nt
Filed under: Verrucomicrobia bacterium ADurb.Bin122
Lineage: Bacteria; Pseudomonadati; Verrucomicrobiota
Also listed under: 1 other name
Description: tRNA-Arg
Rfam family: tRNA
About the family: Transfer RNA (tRNA) molecules are approximately 80 nucleotides in length.
Source: RNAcentral
GCGACGGUAGCUCAGCUGGAUAGAGCAUCGGUUUUCUAAACCGACGGUCGGGAGUUCGAGCCUCCCCCGUCGCGCCA